UAAAUUCCAUAAGAUUUGCAAGUACGAAAUCCGAAAUCGAAUAUAUUAUUAUAUAGAUGAAUCUGUUGUCAUAAAAUAUUACCAAAAAUGAUCAACAUCAGUUAGUUGCACCGUACAUCAAUGAUGUAAGCUAGUCACAAUGUGUUCAUAAACAUUUAGCAAAAAAAUUAUAUAUACUAAUAUCCCUCUAACAUGUAAAAUUAAUUUUCUUAACAUUCCCAGCAAAAAAUGGUCAAUCAAUAUGUCAUCAAAAUCUGCUUCUUGAACUUCAAUAUCCAAAACCUGUAAAGGAGAUAAGAAAUUUUAUUUAGAAAAACUAUAACCAUGUAGAUGGAACAAAAUCAGAGCUAGACAAAGAAAAAAGAAGCAAAAAAUUAUUAAAGACUAUCAGAGGAUGUACACAGUUUUAAAGUAUAUAGGCAUCCAUGAUAAUAUAACAAUGAAUCCUUGCAUCGAGUAAAAACAUUUACCAAGACUGAUUAAUCAAGAAACGAAGUAUAAGACAUAAAAAGUACAUAUAUUUCAACUUAGAUAUGGUUGAGGGGCAACUGAAACAUGCAUAAGCAAAGAGCGAAUUGCUGCAGAGUUUUAAAGUUUGGCAAAUCAGAAGACUUCAACAGAUAUUUAGAAACAGAUGUGCAAUAGAUACAUAUUGCACUUUGAGGAUACAUACAGGAAGUGCCUUACACCAAGUUAUGAAACUCGAUAAUUUGAAACAAAGAGAACUUCCUUUAUGAUACAAUUAGUUCUCAAUUUUUGCACCUAUUGCCAUGGUGCUUUAUAGAUUCUUGAUCCACUAAGAUAUGGACUUCUGGAUAGGCAAUGUAGAUUUGCACCUCUAUAAAGUUAAACAAACUAACAUAAAAGUAGAAAAUGGUGAAUUAUUAAAAUGCUAAUUUUACUAUUAGAAAUAGAUAUAUGUACCCAGCUAUGCAUGGCAUUUGCAACAAUUAUAGACCACGUCGGUAGUCAAAAACUCUUCAUAUUGCCUUUAGAAGCUUGAAAUUUGUGCAUUGUCUCGAGAAUCAAAAACUCUGCUGUAGUGUGAAAGGCACAAAC
RNAcentral lists this long non-coding RNA (1059 nucleotides) under Nicotiana benthamiana. Its description in RNAcentral is "long non-coding RNA (NBEN_LNC032328)". Lineage: Eukaryota; Viridiplantae; Streptophyta; Magnoliopsida; Solanales; Solanaceae. The record is from RNAcentral.